GGGCCUUUAGCUCAGUUGGUUAGAGCAACCGGCUCAUAACCGGUUGGCCCGGGGUUCGAGUCCCUGAAGGCCCACCA
This 77-nucleotide transfer RNA is filed under the name Petroclostridium sp. X23. Its description in RNAcentral is "tRNA-Ile". It matches the Rfam family "tRNA". Rfam says of the family: Transfer RNA (tRNA) molecules are approximately 80 nucleotides in length. Their secondary structure includes four short double-helical elements and three loops (D, anti-codon, and T loops). The record is from RNAcentral. Lineage: Bacteria; Bacillati; Bacillota; Clostridia; Eubacteriales; Oscillospiraceae.